AUGAACUGGUUUUGAAAAAUAACAAGAACCACCUUCUAUUCUCUGCCUGCCUGCCUACCUUCUUUCUGUAACAAAGGAAAGAAAUGGAGGAGAUUGUAAAAGAUGCACUAGCCGCACAAGCCCUUGUUACCUGCGUCUGCUUUUAGAGUCCCUGGUCCAUUUUACCACUGGGCACAUUGCUCAGUUAUACUCAGAGUGGAUGACUGGCAAAAUGACACCUGUUUUAUUUUAUUUUUAUUUUUUAAAGAAGCCACUUGCCAAGUGUGUGUAGGAAAACGAUUCCUAUGGUAUGACAUCGAGAUCCUGUGUUUUGAUCAGAUAAGGGAUUCUGAUCUGCAGUUUAUAAAGUUCACUAGCAGAAAACCCAAGGUCAUUGAUGACACAACACCGUCCACACAGCAACAGACGGCCUGCACGCACAGUGACAACAUGAGUGUGGAUGGCGGUGAUUGCUGUGUCGCGAACCCAUACGCAAGAAGAAUGUGUCCUCUUUUGAAAGGAGAAUCACAGUGCAAACUGAGACAAAGGCUGAAAUCUCACAAAGAAUAGCACACGUGGACGAAGCAGUUGGCAUUCUGGAUGCUUCCACAGUUGCUUCUCUAGUGUCAGCGCCAAUCCACUAUGCAGCUCUUAUGCAUCAACCACCUGCACUGAAAGGUCCUAGCUCAUGUGACACCGCCAUCUUGCCAGAAUGAGAGCCCUAGUCAUCUCCUGGCUCCUACCACAGUUACCCUGGGCUGCUCUAUACUAGAUGCCAGUAGCAGAGUUCCAGAGGGUCCUCACUGGCAUGCCUCUUCCCGGCUGAAAACUGGCAGUGUUUUUAAUCACCUUCAGCAGAGGUACGAGACCUAGAAUGUUUGGCACCACGGGUCAUAAAGGUGUUUAGACGUCAUUUGUACAUUCUGCUUCCUCG
This is a long non-coding RNA of Alexandromys fortis (reed vole), 913 nucleotides long. RefSeq lists it as uncharacterized. The record is from RefSeq and is a predicted model, not a curated record. The transcript is spliced from 3 exons. Lineage: Eukaryota; Metazoa; Chordata; Mammalia; Rodentia; Cricetidae.